UCAGAUUGAACGCUGGCGGCAGGCCUAACACAUGCAAGUCGAGCGGCAGCGGGAAGUAGUUUACUACUUCGCCGGCGAGCGGCGGACGGGUGAGUAAUGUCUGGGGAUCUGCCUGAUGGAGGGGGAUAACUACUGGAAACGGUAGCUAAUACCGCAUGACCUCGUAAGAGCAAAGUGGGGGACCUUCGGGCCUCACGCCAUCGGAUGAACCCAGAUGGGAUUAGCUAGUAGGUGGGGUAAUGGCUCACCUAGGCGACGAUCCCUAGCUGGUCUGAGAGGAUGACCAGCCACACUGGAACUGAGACACGGUCCAGACUCCUACGGGAGGCAGCAGUGGGGAAUAUUGCACAAUGGGCGCAAGCCUGAUGCAGCCAUGCCGCGUGUGUGAAGAAGGCCUUCGGGUUGUAAAGCACUUUCAGCGAGGAGGAAGGCAGUCGUGUUAAUAGCACGAUUGAUUGACGUUACUCGCAGAAGAAGCACCGGCUAACUCCGUG
Molecule: ribosomal RNA, 494 nt
Filed under: Yersinia bercovieri
Lineage: Bacteria; Pseudomonadati; Pseudomonadota; Gammaproteobacteria; Enterobacterales; Yersiniaceae
Description: bacterial SSU rRNA
Rfam family: Bacterial small subunit ribosomal RNA
Source: RNAcentral